GCCUGGCUAGCUCAGUUGGUAGAGCAUGAGACUUUUUAUCUCAGUGUCGGGUUCAAGUCCCAUGUUGGGUG
RNAcentral lists this transfer RNA (71 nucleotides) under Poecilia formosa (Amazon molly). It matches the Rfam family "tRNA". Rfam says of the family: Transfer RNA (tRNA) molecules are approximately 80 nucleotides in length. Their secondary structure includes four short double-helical elements and three loops (D, anti-codon, and T loops). Lineage: Eukaryota; Metazoa; Chordata; Actinopteri; Cyprinodontiformes; Poeciliidae. The record is from Rfam by way of RNAcentral.